Molecule: ribosomal RNA, 987 nt
Filed under: uncultured bacterium
Lineage: Bacteria
Description: bacterial SSU rRNA
Rfam family: Bacterial small subunit ribosomal RNA
Source: RNAcentral
GAUGAACGCUAGCGGCAGGCCUAAUACAUGCAAGUCGAGGGAGAUUGUUGGAUUCGUCUGACAUGAAACCGGCGCACGGGUGCGUAACACGUAUGCAACCUACCUUUAACUGGGGUACAGCUCAGAGAAAUCUGAAUUAAUCCCCCAUAAGACUACGACAUGGCAUCAUGAUGUAGUUAAAGCUCCGGCGGUUAAGGAUGGGCAUGCGGUACAUUAGCUAGUUGGUGAGGUAAUGGCUCACCAAGGCUACGAUGUAUAGGGGGUCUGAGAGGAUGAUCCCCCACACUGGUACUGAGACACGGACCAGACUCCUACGGGAGGCAGCAGUAGGGAAUAUUGGUCAAUGGGCGCAAGUCUGAACCAGCCAUGCCGCGUGAAGGAUGAAGGCCCUAUGGGUCGUAAACUUCUUUUAUUAGGGAAGAAAAAAUGGGAUGCGUCCUAUACUGACGGUACUUAAUGAAUAAGGAUCGGCUAACUUCGUGCCAGCAGCCGCGGUAAGACGAAGGAUCCAAGCGUUGUCCGGAUUUACUGGGUUUAAAGGGUGCGUAGGCGGAAAAUUAAGUCAGUGGUGAAAGCCCGCAGCUCAACUGUGGAACUGCCAUUGAAACUGGUUUUCUUGAAUAUAGCUGAGGCAGAUGGAAUAUAACAUGUAGCGGUGAAAUGCUUAGAUAUGUUAUAGAACACCGAUUGCGAAGGCAGUCUGCUAAACUAUUAUUGACGCUGAGGCACGAAAGCGUGGGGAGCGAACAGGAUUAGAUACCCUGGUAGUCCACGCCCUAAACGUUGAUUACUCGCUAUUGGCGAUAUACUGUCAGUGGCUAAGCGAAAGCAUUAAGUAAUCCACCUGGGAAGUACGACCGCAAGGUUGAAACUCAAAGGAAUUGACGGGGGCCCGCACAAGCGGAGGAGCAUGUGGUUUAAUUCGAUGAUACGCGAGAAACCUUACCUGGGCUUAAAUGUCAGGUGACCGCUGCCGAAAGGUAGGCU